Molecule: unclassified non-coding RNA, 240 nt
Filed under: plant metagenome
Description: partial contains small subunit ribosomal RNA, internal transcribed spacer 1, and 5.8S ribosomal RNA
Source: RNAcentral
UUUCCGUAGGUGAACCUGCGGAAGGAUCAUUACUGAGUUAGGGUCUUUAUGGCCCGCCCUCCAACCCUUUGUUUAAUCUACCAUGUUGCUUUGGCAGGCCCGCUUAGAAAUGGGCCGCCGGAGACCUUUGAGUCUCUGGUCAGUGCCUGCCAGUAGCCUUUCUAAAUUCAUUUAUAACCGUGUCUGAAUAUACAAAGAAAAAUUAAAAUAAAACUUCCAACAACGGAUCUCUUGGUUCUG